AAAGUUCUGUGUGAACAAAGGCCUGUUGUUGGAACAGUGUGGAGCUGGCCCUGUGGAGACUGCUCCCCGUGGGGCGCGCUCUGUCACCUGCCCCAGUGGAGACUGCUCCCCGUGGGGCGCGCUCUGUCACCUGCCCCAGUGGAGACUGCUCCCCGUGGGGCGCGCUCGGUCCCCGGCCCCAGUGGAGACUGCUCCCCGUGGGGCGCGCUCUGUCACCUGCCCCAGUGGAGACUGCUCCCCGUGGGGCGCGCUCGGUCCCCGGCCCCAGUGGAGACUGCUCCCCGUGGGGCGCGCUCUGUCACCUGCCCCAGUGGAGACUGCUCCCCGUGGGGCGCGCUCGGUCCCCGGCCCCAGUGGAGACUGCUCCCCGUGGGGCGCGCUCUGUCACCUGCCCCAGUGGAGACUGCUCCCCGUGGGGCGCGCUCGGUCCCCGGCCCCAGUGGAGACUGCUCCCCGUGGGGCGCGCUCUGUCCCCCUGCCCCAGUGGAGACUGCUCCCCGUGGGGCGCGCUCGGUCCCCGGCCCCAGUGGAGACUGCUCCCCGUGGGGCGCGCUCGGUCCCCGGCCCCAGUGGAGACUGCUCCCCGUGGGGCGCGCUCUGUCACCUGCCCCAGUGGAGACUGCUCCCCGUGGGGCACGCUCUGUCCCCUGCCCCACUACCUCUUGUUUACGUGGCGUUUGUGUGAAAGCUGGGACUGUUCUGCGCACAGGCUGGGGUGCGGUCGGUCAGACCUGGGCCCUGCAUGAGAGAGGGCAGUGGCUUAAGCAGCUCCCUGAACAGGAAAGUGCUGUGCAUGCGGACGCGCCCUGCAGGCGGGGGGGCGCGGGGCCCUGCGAGCCUCUGAAGGUCCAAAGAGUUUCUCCCGAGUUUUCUGACCAUCAUUUCUCAGGCUGUGAGAGUUGCCUCACUGUAGUAGAUUCUACUGGAGACAGCUUUUCACUCCAGUUCCUACUUUCAGGGGCUGACCCUGCAGGGAGCUGGGUGUUGCUCCCCGACCCCCGGCAUGAGUUGGUCGUGGCAGAGUCCUGGAGAGGGUUGACAGAGGCUGAUGUCCUGGACCCACAGGGCCUGGGUGCAUGUGCUCGGGAGAGGCGAUAG
This 1098-nucleotide long non-coding RNA is filed under the name Bos mutus (wild yak). RNAcentral's name for it is "lncRNA (ENSBMUG00000003933.1)". Lineage: Eukaryota; Metazoa; Chordata; Mammalia; Artiodactyla; Bovidae. The record is from RNAcentral.